GACGAACGCUGGCGGCGUGCUUAACACAUGCAAGUCGAACGGAAAGGCCCUGCUUUUGUGGGGUGCUCGAGUGGCGAACGGGUGAGUAACACGUGAGUAACCUGCCCUUGACUUUGGGAUAACUUCAGGAAACUGGGGCUAAUACCGGAUAGGAGCUCCUGCUGCAUGGUGGGGGUUGGAAAGUUUCGGCGGUUGGGGAUGGACUCGCGGCUUAUCAGCUUGUUGGUGGGGUAGUGGCUUACCAAGGCUUUGACGGGUAGCCGGCCUGAGAGGGUGACCGGCCACAUUGGGACUGAGAUACGGCCCAGACUCCUACGGGAGGCAGCAGUGGGGAAUAUUGCACAAUGGGCGGAAGCCUGAUGCAGCAACGCCGCGUGCGGGAUGACGGCCUUCGGGUUGUAAACCGCUUUCGCCUGUGACGAAGCGUGAGUGACGGUAAUGGGUAAAGAAGCACCGGCUAACUACGUGCCAGCAGCCGCGGUGAUACGUAGGGUGCGAGCGUUGUCCGGAUUUAUUGGGCGUAAAGGGCUCGUAGGUGGUUGAUCGCGUCGGAAGUGUAAUCUUGGGGCUUAACCCUGAGCGUGCUUUCGAUACGGGUUGACUUGAGGAAGGUAGGGGAGAAUGGAAUUCCUGGUGGAGCGGUGGAAUGCGCAGAUAUCAGGAGGAACACCAGUGGCGAAGGCGGUUCUCUGGGCCUUUCCUGACGCUGAGGAGCGAAAGCGUGGGGAGCGAACAGGCUUAGAUACCCUGGUAGUCCACGCUGUAAACGGUGGGUACUAGGUGUGGGGUCCAUUCCACGGGUUCCGUGCCGUAGCUAACGCUUUAAGUACCCCGCCUGGGGAGUACGGCCGCAAGGCUAAAACUCAAAGGAAUUGACGGGGCCCCGCACAAGCGGCGGAGCAUGCGGAUUAAUUCGAUGCAACGCGUAGAACCUUACCUGGGUUUGACAUGGAUCGGGAGUGCUCAGAGAUGGGUGUGCCUCUUUUGGGGUCGGUUCACAGGUGGUGCAUGGCUGUCGUCAGCUCGUGUCGUGAGAUGUUGGGUUAAGCCCCGCAACGAGCGCAACCCUUGUUCACUGUUGCCAGCACGUUAUGGUGGGGACUCAGUGGAGACCGCCGGGGUCAACUCGGAGGAAGGUGGGGAUGACGUCAAGUCAUCAUGCCCCUUAUGUCCAGGGCUUCACGCAUGCUACAAUGGCUGGUACAGAGAGUGGCGAGCCUGUGAGGGUGAGCGAAUCUCGGAAAGCCGGUCUCAGUUCGGAUUGGGGUCUGCAACUCGACCUCAUGAAGUCGGAGUCGCUAGCAAUCGCAGAUCAGCAACGCUGCGGUGAAUACGUUCCCGGGGCU
Molecule: ribosomal RNA, 1346 nt
Filed under: uncultured bacterium
Lineage: Bacteria
Description: partial 16S ribosomal RNA
Rfam family: Bacterial small subunit ribosomal RNA
Source: RNAcentral